RNAcentral lists this ribosomal RNA (169 nucleotides) under Luciogobius sp. 'ichimonji-mimizu-haze'. Its description in RNAcentral is "partial 12S rRNA". The record is from RNAcentral. Lineage: Eukaryota; Metazoa; Chordata; Actinopteri; Gobiiformes; Gobiidae.
CACCGCGGUUAUACGAGAGGCUCAAGUUGAUAAACACCGGCGUAAAAUGUGGUUAACAUAUUAUUACACUAAAGCUAAACAUCUUCAAAGCUGUUAUACCCACACGAAGACAGGAAAACCUUCUACGAAAGUGGCUUUAAACUAAUGCUAACCCACGAAAACUAGGAAA